Molecule: ribosomal RNA, 454 nt
Filed under: uncultured bacterium
Lineage: Bacteria
Description: bacterial SSU rRNA
Rfam family: Bacterial small subunit ribosomal RNA
Source: RNAcentral
GAGUUUGAUCAUGGCUCAAAUUGAACGCUGGCGGCAGGCUUCCCUCAUGCAAGUCGAGCGGGGGAGGUUGCUUCGGUAACUGACCUAGCGGCGGACGGGUGAGUAAUGCUUAGGAAUCUGCCUAUUAGGGGGGGACAACGUUUCAAAAGGAACGCUAAUACCGCAUACGUCCUACGGGAGAAAGCAGGGGAUCACUUGUGACCUUGCGCUAAUAGAUGAGCCUAAGUCGGAUUAGCUAGUUGGGGGGGUAAAGGCCUACCAAGGCAACAAUCUGUAGCGGGUCUGAGAGGAUGAUCCGCCACACUGGGACUGAGACACGGCCCAAACUCCUACGGGAGGCAGCAGUGGGUAAUAUUGGACAAUGGGGGGAACCCUGAUCCAGCCAUGCCGCGUGUGUGAAGAAGGCCUUUUGGUUGUAAAGCACUUUAAGCGAGGAGGAGGAGCUUCAGGUUAA